CGAACUCUUCCCGUCUUCUUCAAGUUUUUCCCAAAUUGAGGUAAACGUCAACGAAUCUUAAUCGAAUUUAACCUACAUGGAUAAAAAUAUAAACCAUGGAAAAACAUUGCUUGGAUCUUGUUCCCUGGACCUUGGACUUUUGGUGUGGAUGAUCAGGGCCUACCAAAGCAAUGUUUCUCAAACAACUGUGGGGUGUUUGUUUUGAUGUAUGCUCUGUACAUUUCAAUUGAAGCACAGUGUGAUUUCACUGAGGUAUGUAUAAAUUAUGAAAUUCUCAUCACUAAUGGAUAUGUUUUUUUGGGAUCCCCAUCUGAUUAUUUUUUUAAAGCCUAAUUUGCUGCAUGUUGUCCUAUGGUGGUGCUUGGUUCUCCUGCAGAACUUUCCUAUGCUGUAACAUUAUAAAAACGUUUCAUUUGCAUCCUUAAAAUCAAACGCUUUGCUGUAGCCAGACUGACCUGAAUAUAUGUUCAUAAUGAAUGUAUGUCAUUCACUCACUGAGGUCUGAAGAAGAGGUUGAAAGAUCCAAAAAGGCGGUGAAAACACAAUACAGGUAGUUGUCAUGAUGAGUGGUAUAGUCUUAAACUAAUGUUUAAAGAUGUACCCCCCCCAAAAGAAAUAUAUAUUUCAGGGUGAUGUAGAUUCCCCCCCCAAGAAGUCACAUCAGCAUCCAGCUCUGCAGGAUCAGGUACUCUAUCGGCUCUUAGCUAAAGUAAGGUACAUUCUUGUACACACAUCCCUAGAGGUUCCCUUACAUUACCUAAUGACCACAAUCUGUUUUCUUUCUAGACGAUACUGAAAACAAAAUGCACUGGGGGCUGUGAACUGGGAAGCAGCUGUUCUUCUAAGGAACACCCUAGAGGCAGCAAGGUGGCGCGAACUCUGAACAUUUAAAGGCACUGUUUCCCUCCCCCUAGUGUAAUUGGGAUGGAUGGGGAAGACUGCAUUUACAACCCUUAAAGAACUAUGGUUGUAUGAUGGCCAGGAUGAAGAGGAAACUUAAUAUCCUCAAGGAACCAUUCAUGUUACAGAGAGAUUAUGAGAUGUUUGAUUUAUUUAUUUUUUAUUUUACCUUUAUUUAACCAGGUAGGCAAGUUGAGAACAAGUUCUCAUUUACAAUUGCGACCUGGCCAAGAUAAAGCAAAGCAGUUCGACAGAUACAACGACACAGAGUUACACAUGGAGUAAAACAAACAUACAGUCAAUAACACAGUAUAAACAAGUCUAUAUACAACGUGAGCAAAUGAGGUGAGAAUGGAGGUAAAGGCAAAAAAGGCCAUGGUGGCAAAGUAAAUACAAUAUAGCAAGUAAAACACUGGAAUGGUAGUUUUGCAAUGGAAGAAUGUGCAAAGUAGAAAUAAAAAUAAUGGGGUGCAAAGGAGCAAAAUAAAUUUAAAAUUAAAUACAGUUGGGAAAGAGGUAGUUGUUUGGGCUAAAUUAUAGGUGGGCUAUGUACAGGUGCAGUAAUCUGUGAGCUGCUCUGACAGUUGGUGCGUAAAGCUAGUGCGGGAGAUAAGUGUUUCCAGUUUCAGAGAUUUUUGUAGUUCGUUCCAGUCAUUGGCAGCAGAGAACUGGAAGGAGAGGCGGCCAAAGAAAGAAUUGGUUUUGGGGGUGACUAGAUAUACCUGCUGGAGCGUGUGCUACAGGUGGGAGAUGCUAUGGUGACCAGCGAGCUGAGAUAAGGGGGG
Oncorhynchus tshawytscha (Chinook salmon) is the source of this 1685-nucleotide long non-coding RNA. Lineage: Eukaryota; Metazoa; Chordata; Actinopteri; Salmoniformes; Salmonidae. The record is from Ensembl.